GGAGUAAAGGAAACGGAGGAGGAGGAGGAGGACACGUCAACAACGGGGCGGGGGCGGGGGGGGGGGCGAAGUAGAGAUCCUGCGUGAGAAGGGACCAAAGUGGAGGAAUCGGGAUUGCAGCCUGGUGCACGUGCUCGGUGGGCACGUGCCAGAAAAACAAAUUGCCCUCGAGGGAAAUUUGCUUUCCGAGUGGCGGUGAAAGUCCAGCAGUGGGCGCUGUGACGAUACGCCGCACGAUCUUGUCGUGGCAGCGGAUGAACUGAGGCAGCGUCAGGCCGUCCGCCACCUGCACGGCGCCUUUCUCGUCCCACUCGAAGAUCAGGUCGUUCAUCGUGUAGCCAACUGGAAACACACACACGCACGCGUUUGGCGACGUGCGGAUGCUUGGCGUGGCGUCGCCCUGCCGACGACGUGGACACGUUGCCAGUCAUGAACUUUUCUUCUUCUUGUGAUCAAAAUGUGAAGACAAAGAAAGGUCGGAAGAAGCAGGCAAAGGCUGCGGUCGCUAUGGUUACUGUCCGACAUCACGUCUUUGCGACGUCGGCGCUGCGCCGCGGCCGCUUCCCAGUCGCCUCACGUCCGCGCGUGUGUUUGUGCGUCACCGUCAACGUGUGAGCGUCUCCUAUCUGCGUGUGUGUACUAUAGCUCUCCAGCUGCAUGAUGCACGUCUGCACAUCCAUCGGGAAGUUCUUCAGGUCCAUGGGACAGGCCAGAAUCAGCGUUAUUCUGAAAACACACACACACACAGAUAUCAGCUUCCCGCUAAGAGGAUUAUGUGUUGAUCUUGAGCAAAUGAGCAAACAUCACAGGCGCGUUAUUGUUAAAAUCAUACUAGAGAAUUGCACUCGCGUUGAGAACUGGCUAAUUACAAGUGAGCGGAAUCCAAAUGCUCCAAAAACACAAGAACGGGCAGCACUGCGUGCGCUUCGUGGGUUCCAGGUUCCAACGUGGGUUUGGGCCUUCCUUAGCGGAGCCAACCGUGUUGUGCCAAGCCUUCGGGGUGAGCGCGUUAGCUCCAAUCAAUACCGGCAAAUUGCACGUAGGCUCGUUUGGCCCAACAGUGAACUCUUGAUUUAAUGGGGAGCGUCCGUUCACACACAUCUCACGGAAUGGAGAGACAACAAGUCUUUUUAAAAAGGGUCAAUUUCACUCAAACGGCCAGAAUUCAAGAAGGUGAGCCACAAUCGGUGACCAGAAUGUUGCCGUCCUUGUCAAAGAUAAACACCGGGGAGGGGAGAUCUCGCCUGUGUGGCGGCCACGUUGGGACCUUGCAUCAAGGGCAACAAAAGCAAAUCGUAAUAAGUACGCGUCUCCCGGAUUUCACUGUGGGCAUCUAUGGCCGUGGCGCUCAUCGCGCUCCGGUUUUGUCCACGUCGCGUAUCGUUCUGGAAAAACGAGAUUUUUGCACAAUUAUCGUCAAGGCCUUAAAAGGAAACGGAGCUCGAGCUUCGUGCAAAACAACCUCCAAGCAGGCCAUCGUAAGGCUUGCCGCAAACAAUGGCCGCUCAACAUCACGCGGCGCGUACGGACAGCGAGCGGUGCAGUGCGGCCUGCGCGUCUGACCCCCCCCCCGCAGCCAGAAUGCGUCAGUUCUUUUCCCCGGCGGACGCAAUAAAACGGGGAUCGUAAAAUAAGAGUCAUAAAAACGUGCCGCCGCUCCGAGCUCAAUGAAAGCAGGAGAAAAAAGGUUGUUGUUAUCUUUGCGAGAGUAAAUGCUUCUUUUGUCACAGUUUCACGAGUAAAUAAAGUCGCAAGGAUGUCGUCCUACUACCUUGACAAAGUCGUGUUUACUUCUUUUUUCCUGGUGUGAGACUAAAGUUGCUUUUUUGAGGGGAACAAAAGGAGAAGAAAUAACA
Long non-coding RNA from Syngnathoides biaculeatus (alligator pipefish), 1856 nucleotides. RefSeq lists it as uncharacterized. NCBI's taxonomy places the organism in Eukaryota, Metazoa, Chordata, Actinopteri, Syngnathiformes, Syngnathidae. The transcript is spliced from 3 exons. The record is from RefSeq and is a predicted model, not a curated record.